Molecule: ribosomal RNA, 257 nt
Filed under: uncultured soil bacterium
Lineage: Bacteria
Description: partial 16S ribosomal RNA
Rfam family: Bacterial small subunit ribosomal RNA
Source: RNAcentral
AGGACGAACGCUGGCGGCGUGCCUAACACAUGCAAGUCGAACGGGACCAGGGGCAACUCUGGUUCAGUGGCGGACGGGUGCGUAACACGUGAGGAACAUGACCUUCGGCGGGGGAUAGCCGGCCCAACGGCCGGGUAAUACCGCGUACGACCAUCCGGGGGACAUCCCUGGGUGGUGAAAGCAGCAAUGCGCCGAUGGAGUGCCUCGCGGCCUAUCAGCUAGUUGGUGAGGUAACGCUCACCAAGGCGACGACGGGU